UGCAGUCGAACGCUUCUUUUUCCACCGGAGCUUGCUCCACCGGAAAAAGAGGAGUGGCGAACGGGUGAGUAACACGUGGGUAACCUGCCCAUCAGAAGGGGAUAACACUUGGAAACAGGUGCUAAUACCGUAUAACAAUCGAAACCGCAUGGUUUUGAUUUGAAAGGCGCUUUCGGGUGUCGCUGAUGGAUGGACCCGCGGUGCAUUAGCUAGUUGGUGAGGUAACGGCUCACCAAGGCCACGAUGCAUAGCCGACCUGAGAGGGUGAUCGGCCACAUUGGGACUGAGACACGGCCCAAACUCCUACGGGAGGCAGCAGUAGGGAAUCUUCGGCAAUGGACGAAAGUCUGACCGAGCAACGCCGCGUGAGUGAAGAAGGUUUUCGGAUCGUAAAACUCUGUUGUUAGAGAAGAACAAGGAUGAGAGUAACUGUUCAUCCCUUGACGGUAUCUAACCAGAAAGCCACGGCUAACUACGUGCCAGCAGCCGCGGUAAUACGUAGGUGGCAAGCGUUGUCCGGAUUUAUUGGGCGUAAAGCGAGCGCAGGCGGUUUCUUAAGUCUGAUGUGAAAGCCCCCGGCUCAACCGGGGAGGGUCAUUGGAAACUGGGAGACUUGAGUGCAGAAGAGGAGAGUGGAAUUCCAUGUGUAGCGGUGAAAUGCGUAGAUAUAUGGAGGAACACCAGUGGCGAAGGCGGCUCUCUGGUCUGUAACUGACGCUGAGGCUCGAAAGCGUGGGGAGCAAACAGGAUUAGAUACCCUGGUAGUCCACGCCGUAAACGAUGAGUGCUAAGUGUUGGAGGGUUUCCGCCCUUCAGUGCUGCAGCUAACGCAUUAAGCACUCCGCCAGGAGAGUACGACCGCAAGGUUGAAACUCAAGGAAAUUUGAACGG
This 891-nucleotide ribosomal RNA is filed under the name Enterococcus faecium. Its description in RNAcentral is "bacterial SSU rRNA". It matches the Rfam family "Bacterial small subunit ribosomal RNA", at positions 56 to 918 of the family's 1533-position model. Lineage: Bacteria; Bacillati; Bacillota; Bacilli; Lactobacillales; Enterococcaceae. The record is from RNAcentral.